GUGGGGAAUCUUCCGCAAUGGACGAAAGUCUGACGGAGCAACGCCGCGUGAGUGAAGAAGGUUUUCGGAUCGUAAAGCUCUUUCGUUAGGGACGAACGUGCUCUUUGUGAAUAAUGAGGAGUAAUGACGGUACCUAAAUAAGAAGCCACGGCUAACUACGUGCCAGCAGCCGCGGUAAUACGCAGGUGGCAAGCGUUGUCCGGAAUUAUUGGGCGUAAAGCGCGCGCAGGCGGGAUAUCAAGUCUGUCUUAAAAGUGCGAGGCUCAACCUCGUGAGGGGACAGAAACUGGUAUUCUUGAGUGUCGGAGAGGAAAGUGGAAUUCCUAGUGUAGCGGUGAAAUGCGUAGAUAUUAGGAAGAACACCAGUGGCGAAGGCGACUUUCUGGACGAAAACUGACGCUGAGGCGCGAAAGCCAGGGGAGCGAACGGGAUUAGAUACCCUGGUAGUCC
RNAcentral lists this ribosomal RNA (450 nucleotides) under uncultured bacterium. RNAcentral's name for it is "partial 16S ribosomal RNA". It matches the Rfam family "Bacterial small subunit ribosomal RNA", at positions 354 to 796 of the family's 1533-position model. The record is from RNAcentral.